GGCGGGUUGCCAGAGUGGCCUAUUGGAGCGGACUGUAAAUCCGCAGAGCCUUCCGGUUCCGAGGGUUCGAAUCCCUCACCCGCCGCCA
Molecule: transfer RNA, 88 nt
Filed under: Blastocatellia bacterium
Lineage: Bacteria; Pseudomonadati; Acidobacteriota; Blastocatellia
Description: tRNA-Tyr
Rfam family: tRNA
About the family: Transfer RNA (tRNA) molecules are approximately 80 nucleotides in length. Their secondary structure includes four short double-helical elements and three loops (D, anti-codon, and T loops).
Source: RNAcentral